Molecule: non-coding RNA, 103 nt
Filed under: Brugia malayi
Lineage: Eukaryota; Metazoa; Nematoda; Chromadorea; Rhabditida; Onchocercidae
Source: RNAcentral
GGCUUAGGCUUAGGCUUAGGCUUAGGCUUAGGCUUAGGCUUAGGCUUAGGCUGAGGCUUAGGCUUAGGCUUAGGCUUAGGCUUAGGCUUAGGCUUGAUAAUUA